GGUGUUCCGAUGAUGAAGCUUCUUCCACUGCUGCAUUUGGCUGAGUACGCCAUGCGGAGACUUGUUACCUUGGAGAGCUGAGUGACUCU
This is a small nucleolar RNA of Varanus komodoensis (Komodo dragon), 89 nucleotides long. Lineage: Eukaryota; Metazoa; Chordata; Lepidosauria; Squamata; Varanidae. The record is from Ensembl.